UACGGAGGGUGCAAGCGUUGUCCGGAUUUAUUGGGUUUAAAGGGUGCGUAGGCGGCUUAGUAAGUCCGUGGUGAAAUCCAACAGCUCAACUGUUGAACUGCCAUGGAUACUGCUAGGCUUGAGUACAGACGAGGUAGGCGGAAUGGAUAGUGUAGCGGUGAAAUGCAUAGAUACUAUCCAGAACACCGAUUGCGUAGGCAGCUUACUAGGCUGUAACUGACGCUGAGGCACGAAAGCGUGGGGAGCGAACAGG
RNAcentral lists this ribosomal RNA (253 nucleotides) under uncultured bacterium. Its description in RNAcentral is "partial 16S ribosomal RNA". It matches the Rfam family "Bacterial small subunit ribosomal RNA", at positions 524 to 776 of the family's 1533-position model. The record is from RNAcentral.